RNAcentral lists this unclassified non-coding RNA (572 nucleotides) under Hevea brasiliensis (rubber tree). The record is from RNAcentral. Lineage: Eukaryota; Viridiplantae; Streptophyta; Magnoliopsida; Malpighiales; Euphorbiaceae.
AUUUAGAAGUAAUUGCAGCAAAAGCUUGUGAAGAUAGAAUUGUAGGAGAGGGAGAAUAUAGGAGAAAAAGAAAUUAAGGGAAAAAAAAGGAGCAGUAAAGAAUUUCAAGAACAGGGUUUUGUUGGAAAUAGAAAUGGAGCAAAGAAACAGAAGGAAAAGAAAGUGAAGACAUUUCAGUGAAGAAACUUGUUCUUUACAUUGAUGCGAUUCAGAUGAACCCCUUUGCAGCUCAAGUCCUAAAAAAUGAGCUCUGAUACAACUUUAUUAUGCAACAGGCUUGUAACGCCUUUCAAAACAGAGAAAUAGGGAAAGAGAGAUAGAAUGGACUUUGUUGUUGAUAAAAAAAGUAGAAAGGGAAGACGAUUUAGAGAGAAUUAGGGAAUAAUAGAGCAAGAAGAAUUCUGCAUUUGUUCCCAAUUAUGACCAUUCUUUCCCUAUUUAUGCUAACCCCUACUACUUAGUAACAAAAUAAUAGAAUAUUGCCUUGCCCAUUGCAUUCAGUCUACUAGUGUACCUAAGUCAACUCGCCAGCCCAGUCAACUCAUCUUGCUCAUCCCAUCCCUUAGUCAUAA